This 993-nucleotide unclassified non-coding RNA is filed under the name Hevea brasiliensis (rubber tree). Lineage: Eukaryota; Viridiplantae; Streptophyta; Magnoliopsida; Malpighiales; Euphorbiaceae. The record is from RNAcentral.
GGACAAUAUUGAUUUUUUGAUUAUCCAUGCAACCUCUCCCUCCCCACAAUUACACGUCAUCGUUACAUUAUUAAAAUUACCCUAAAACCCUUCCAAACCAAUUACCUCAUGUACCUUAAUUUUAAACAGAGGGAUAAAUCACCGUCGCCGGUGGAACAAAAUUCAUUGCCACGGUUCGGUUCCGACGGACUGAUUAUUAAAAUCUCAUUGGACUAUUCACUCUCGUCACUUCUACAACACCGCCACUAAACUCAGAACAAAAUUCCAUCCCUCUCUCUCUCUUUCUUCUUUCAGACGAAUAAGUUUAAAAGCUUCGUCUCUUUCCGUUGGUCGCCGAGAUCGCCGCUUCCGAAGCUGGUCAUGACCGACUCUUCGGAAUCAAGAGACCGCCGAUUCUCCAAUGGAUGAUUCUUCGCUCUGCCUAGAGCGAGAUCCGGAAGGCACCGGAAAUCGGACGGAGUAGAUGGGUAAAAUUGAAGAUUGUGUGUGGUGGUUGUCCAGACAUCGGUAUUGAAAGUAAGUGCGGAAUCAUCGACGUUGGGGAUGGGAUUUCCAGAACUUUCAAUUCCGGGUAUCGGGCGGAGAACUCCGCCGUUGAGAACGGUAUCCGCCGCCGCUUGACAAACGUGCCAGUUCCCACUGUACAAGAGACCAACGGCUCCGCUAACUGGGUUAACGGUGCGACCACAAGCUUCGAAUAACAGAGACUGAAACAGAGCAGGUCUUUGAUGAUAAGGAACGGCGGAGAUGAAGGACAAGAGAUCACUACGGCCGAAGAAUUUAGCGAGAAACAGAGUGGCGUUGCCUUGGGCUUCCGGAGAAUCAAUCCAAUGGAGACUUGACCUUAAAACGCAGGUUUCGCUGCAGCCCUUUCGAAGCACUCGGCAACCGUUGCAACUCAUCCUUGGAGUAAGGGAGUUCCCAAAUCAAAAGGCGGUGUUGAGUUUCAGAUUGAAGAUGAGUUCCAGUUGGGAAUUAAGGAAUGGAGAAUAA